RNAcentral lists this long non-coding RNA (4185 nucleotides) under Homo sapiens (human). Its description in RNAcentral is "non-protein coding lnc-NCDN-2:1". The record is from RNAcentral. Lineage: Eukaryota; Metazoa; Chordata; Mammalia; Primates; Hominidae.
AAAGAUCUAAGCCAGGCGUGGUGGCUCAUGCCUGUAAUCCCAGCACUUUGGGAGGAUGAGGCAGAUGGAUCACUUGAGGUCAGGAGUUCGAGACCAGCCUGGCCAACAUGGCAAAACCCCGUCACUACUAAAAAUACAAAAAUUAGCCAGGUGUGGUGGCACACAUCUGUAAUCCCAGUUACUCAGAAGGCUGAGGCAGAAGGAUUGCUGGAAAUGGGAGGGGGAGUUGCAGUGAGCCAAGAGCAUGCCACUGUACUCCAGCCUGGACAACAGAGCAAGACUCUGUCUCAAAAAAAAUAAAUAAAUAAAAUAAAAUAAAAAGAUCUGGAAAAAUAAAAGCCAAACUUUGACCAAAAAAAAAAAAAAUCAAUGAUCUUUGCUUCCAUCAUAAAAUCUGGGGAAAAAAAAGAGUAAAUUAAACCCCAAAGUAAGUAAAGGAAAGAAAUGAUAAAGAGAAGAGUAAUCGAACAAAAAACAAUAGAGAAAAAUCAAGGAAACAAAAGCCUAGUUGUUCAAAAGAUCAAUAAAGCUGAUAAAUCUCUAGUCGGACUGACCACGGGAAAAAAAAGGAGUAGUCAAAAGUUACCAGAAUCAAGAAUGAAAGAAGGGACCAGGUGCAGUGGCUCAUGCCUGUAAUCCCAGCACUUUGGGAGGCUAAGGCAGGCAGAUCACUUGAGGUCAGGAGUUCAAGACCAGCCUGGCCAACAUGGUGAAACCCCAUCUCUACUAAAAAUACAAAAAUUAACUGGGCAUGGUGGCAUUCACCUGUAAUUCCAGCUACUUGGGAGGCUGAGGCAGGAGAAUCACUUGCCUCACCCAGGAGGUGGAGGUUGCAGUGAGCCGAGAUCGCACCACUGUACUCCAGCCUGGGCAACAGGACGAGACUCCAUCUCAAAAAAAAAAAAAAAAAAAAAGAAUGAAAGAAGGGAUAUUACUACAGAUUCAAUAAACCAGGGGCUAUACACUAUAGCCCAGGGGCCAAUUUAGGCUGCUGCCUAUUUUUAUAAAUAAAUUUUUAUUGGAACUCAUUUAUGUAUGUGUUAUCUAUAGUUGCCUUUGCUCUACCAUGGCAGAGUUAAGUAGUUGUAACAGAACUUAACAGCCCACAAAGCCUAAAAUAUUUACUAUCUGGCCCCUUAAGAAAAAGCUUGUCAACCUCUGGUCUAAGAGAAUGUACCUUUGUUUGAUUCACUAUUUACUACUGAGUAGAGCUUAAAUUUAGACGUUAACUUAUAGAAUAUGUUACAAAUGAUUUUGAUUUAUAUAUAUAUAAAUCAUAUCUAUAUAACAUAUAUAUAUAUAUAUAUAUAUUUUUUUUUUUUUUUUUUUCUGUCCAGUAUAAAAUAUAACCUCUGGCUGCACAUGAUGGCUCACUCCCAUAAUCCCAGCACUUUGGAAAGCUGAGACAGGAGAAUAGUUUGAGCUCAGAAGUUUGAGACCAGCCCAGGCAACAUAGCGAGACCUUGUCUUUACUAAAAAUUUUAAAAAAUCAGCCAGGUGUGGUGGUGUGCACUUGUAGUCCCAGCUACUCAGGAGGCUGACGCAGUAGGAUUGCUUGAGCUUGGGAGAUACUGGCUGCAUUAAGCUAUGAUAAUGCCAUCACACUCCAGCCUGGGAGACAGUAAGAUCCUGUCUCAAAAAAUAAAACAAAACAAAAAUAAUAUACAUAACUUCCAAUGUUUUAGUUUUAGUGUUCUGUAAGAUAUUAAUAUUUCACAUCUAACUUACAAACUUAUUUCAUCAUUCUUUUCCUGACUGACAAUAUAAAUUUGUAUUUCUUAAAAGCAGCUUUACUGCCCACUGAUUCCCUUACUCAUGAGUUAAAUCUCUGACAAACGUUUCCUUUAUAUUUGUGAGAGUGAUGUCUUUAACACUUUGAAAUUUAUAUACUCAAACACACAAGGUUCACAUUCAUUUACAGAGGCCACAAAACAUAGGAGAAUUACCAAAUUUCAGGGAAAGAAAUAUUUUAAAAAUAUAUUUAGUUCAAUUCCCAUCUAGAGCUAAAAUCCCCUCUAAAACAAUUCAAAGUAUUUUCCAGCCUUUUAAAUUACCUCCUGUAGUUGAGAAUUCAUUAACAAGGCAGGCAAUUCUAAAUUUGUAUAUUCUAGUCUAUUAGUUCUUCCUGGGGUAAUGGUUAAGUGAAUUACGGCAUAGCAACUUAACGACUAUCAUUAAAAGAUCAUUAUAAAGACCAGGUGGCAAGAUGGAAAAUUGUUUACAAUGUAACCCUAAGAGUAAAAAGCUAAAUAUAAAAGUGCACACAUAGUCGGGCUGACAACCAAAAUGUCUAUAAAUGGGCAAGAGAUGAAAGUAAACACAUAUGAAAUCAACAAACAUUUACGAACAUUUACUGUGUUGGAAAGUAUCAUCGAUGCUAGGGAUUAAAAAAAAAAAACAAAACUUACAAAAUGGACUAAAUGCCCCCACUUAAAAGGCACAGAGUGGCAACCUGGAUAAAAAACAAGACCCAAUGGCAUUCUGUCUUCUCACUUCUCACUUGUAAGGAUGAGCGACACAUAAUGACACUCACAGGCUCAAAAUAAAGGGAUGGAGGAAAGCCUACCAAGCAAAGAGCAAAGGGAAAACUGAAAAAAGUAGGAGUUGCAAUCCUAAUUUCAGACAAAACAGAUUUUAAACCAACAAAGAUCAAAAAAGACAAAGAAAGGCAUUACAAAAUGGUUAAAGGGUCAAUUCAACAAGAAAACCUAACCAUCCUAAAUAUAUCUGGACCCAACACAGAAGCACCCAGAUUCAUAAAGCAAGUUCUUAGAGACCUACAAAGAAACGUGGACUCCCACACAAUAACAGUGGGAGACUUAAACACUCCACUGACAGUAUUAGACAGAUCACUGAGGCAGAAAAUUAACAAAGAUAUUCAGGACCUGAUCUCAACAUUGGACCAAAGGGAUCUGAUAGACCUCUACAGAACUCUUCAACCAAAAACAACAGAAUAUACAUUCUUCUUAUAGACACAUGGCACAUACUCUAAAAUUGACCACAUAAUUGGACAUAAAACAAUCCUCAGCAAAUGCAAAAGAACCAAAACUAAGGCCGGGUGCGGUGGCUCACACCUGUAAUCCCAACACUUUGGGAGGCCGAGGCAGGUGGAUCACUUGAGGUCAGGAGUUUGAGGCCAGCCUGGCCAACACGGUGAAACCCCAUCUCUAUUAAAAAUACAAAAUUAGCCGGGUGUGCUGGCACACACCUGUAAUCCCAGCUACUUGGGAGGCUGAGAUAGGAGAAUUCCUUGAACCUGGGAGGCAGAGGCUGUAGUGAGCUGAGAUCGUGCCAUUGCACUCCAGCCUGGACAAAAAGAGUGAAACUCCAUCUCAAAAAAAAAAAAAAAAGAACCAAAAUUGUACCAAACACACUCUUAGACCACAACACAAUGAAAAUAGAAGUCAAAACUAAGAAAAUCACUCAAAACCAUGCAAUUACAUGAAUUACAUGAAAAUUAAACAACAUGCCCCUGAAUGACUUUUGGGUAAAUAAUGAAAUUAAGGCAGAAAUCAAGAAGUUAUUUGAAACUAAUAAGAACAAAGAUACAACAUACCAGAAUCUCUGGGACACAGCUAAGGCAGUGUUAAAAGGGAAAUUCAUAGCACUAAAUACCCACAUCAAAAGGUUAGAAAGAUCUCAAAUUAACAACCUAACAUCACAACUGAAAGAGAAGCAAGAACAAAUCAAACCCAAAGCUAGUAGAAGACAAGAAAUAACCAAAAUCGGAGCUGAAUUGAAGGAAAUCAAGACACAAAAAAAAUUCAAAAGAUCAACAAAUCCAGGAGUUGGUUUCUUGAAAAAAUUAAUAAGAUAGGCCACUAACUAAACUAAUAAAGAAGAAAAAGAGAGGAUAUCCAAAUAAACACAAUUAGAAAUGAUGAAGAGGAUGUUACCACUGACCGCCCAGAAAUAAAAAUAACCAUUAGAAGCUACUUGAUCACCUCUAUGCAUACAAACUAGAAAACCUGGAAGAGAUGGAUAAAUUCCUGGACACAUACACCCUCCCAAGAUUGAACCAAGAAGAAACUGAUUCCCUGAACAGACCAAUAAUGAGCUCUAAAACUGAAUCAGUAAUAAAUAGCCUACCAACCAAAAAAAGCCCAAGACCAGAUGGAUUCCCAGCUGAAUUCCACGAGAUGUACAAAGAAGAGCUGGUACCUUCCUACUAAAACUAUUCCAAAA